CACGCAAAUGAAGUAUGUUUAGAAACAGACUCAGGGAGAAAAUAGGUGUGAACAUCUGAACUAAGUCUGGCAGGUGACAGCCCCGUCUGUCAACGUUUGAGGGGCAGUCACUAGCAAGCUGGGCACCCUGGCAUGGAUACAUUCUGAGUCGUCAGUAUGCUUCCGAUGAAGACUAUGACUCACUGCCCUCCACCAUCUGCUGCACAGGACUCACGAGACUCAGGGCCCCUGCCCCUCCCUGCCCCCCAGGAGUGCUUCUGAGGAACUACAGACAAAAUUAUUUCAUGUGACUCAGGCAGAGAGAGACACAGCCCGGUCUGUUCAUGCCCACUGCUCCCCUCCUGCCUGAGAGACAGGGGUGGGCACUGCCCUGGCCUCUGAGUGACACGUCUUUUCAGGGAUGUGCUAAUGGAGGGAUGGUCCCCUCCUGGCAGGGGUCCUCAGAGCACAGGCUGUGAUUAAGUUCUCAGAGCAGGAGCUGAGCUCAUCAGAGGAGAGUGAGGAGGCAUGGCUCAAUUCCACCUCCGGCCUCUGCAGGGCCCUCCCUGAGCAUACCUAUCUGCAGAGACUCCCAAGGGGUCUCUGGUCCUCUGCCAUGCCAAGUCCAGGCUGGCAUACCCACGUGUUUGCACAGGGCUGCCCUGCCCCAAACACCCAGGCAAAGCUCACCGUCCUUUGCUGAAGCCCAACUCUGCCUCUCGCAUCUGCCUCCUUGAUUGACUCCACUUUUGCCCUGAAUCCUGGUUGGUCCUGAAAUCCCAGAGUUCACAUCAGGUCCUCCCUUUCCAUCAACCCCAUCAUCUAACCCAGCAGGUCUGCCCCUUCCUUCCAUCCUUCUUUUGUGCCCAUGCUUCUGCCUCCUUUUGUGCCCUUUCUUCCACAAGAGCUCUUUCAGGACACCCCUCCCCAGUCUUGCUGACUCCAGGCUGCAGACUUCUCCCCCCACUCCAGGUGGUGUAUUUUCCUAAACAUGUCUUGGUGGCAGCUCCCUGCCCUCCACUGUCAUCUCCUUGGGGUCUACAGCAAAGCCGUGAACUCAUAGGCCCAUGGAGGGCAAACAGAUGACAAAUAGGAAGGAAGCAGGCUCAGGGAGAUAGUGAAGGACAGGGAAGCUUGGUGUGCUGCAGUUGAUGGGGUUGCAAAGAGUUGGACAUGGCUUAGCGACUGUACAAGGCUGAGGGGACUUGAUGAAGGGCCACAGUUCAGAGGGGUGAGAACUAGGGCUGAAUGGAGAAUGCUUGUCCUGUUAGGGGCCGCUAUCACUCAGCAGGAGCCAAGUGUGGCUUAAGGGAGCCAAGAUCCCAACAUGCCAGACCUUUCAGACUUUCAUGAGAACCCAGCUUUGCUUACAAAAAUCUCUUGAUUUAUAGAAGUUGGCAACUAAUCCACAAAUGAAAUUCUGACUAAAGUCCUUGUUCCUGCAUUGCGGUCCAUUCUUGGUCUGGAUCCCACAUGUGAUUCCAGUGCCAUCUCUCCUGACAGCUGACCGCCCUGCCCGUGGCCAGAGCUGCACCAGGCUGUGCUGUGUGCUCAGGCACUCAGUUGUGUCUGACUCUUUGCAACCCCAUGGACUGUAGCCUGCUAGGCUCCUCAGCCCAUGGGAUUCUCCAGGCAAGAAUACCAGAGUAGGUAGCCGUUUCCUUCUCCAGGGGAUCAUCCCAACCCAGGGAUCCAACCCAGGUCUCCCACAUUUCAGAUUCUACCAUCUGAGUCACAAGGGAAGCCCACGCUGUGACACUUGGCUACUCACCAUUCCCAG
Bos grunniens (domestic yak) is the source of this 1759-nucleotide long non-coding RNA. The record is from Ensembl. Lineage: Eukaryota; Metazoa; Chordata; Mammalia; Artiodactyla; Bovidae.